RNAcentral lists this unclassified non-coding RNA (387 nucleotides) under Hevea brasiliensis (rubber tree). The record is from RNAcentral. Lineage: Eukaryota; Viridiplantae; Streptophyta; Magnoliopsida; Malpighiales; Euphorbiaceae.
GAGAGAAGUAUAUCCUAAUUCAUGUAGUUUCUUUCUUCCAGCCCCACCCUCUGUUCAAGCAAUCAACACUGCCAAACUUCUGUCAGAUCUGCCUUUCCCCAUCCACACUAUCAAAAUUACCAUCAUCACUGCCACCAUAAAUGCUUCAGUUCAAUUAUUAUUAUUUAUUAUUCAUAUGAAAAAAGGUUACUUUUUUAUGUUUUUAGCUUUGUGAUCAAAUGAAAUGGGAAUGUGGGUGGUGCUGUAAAUGGGGUUUUCUUGGUUUUUUCUUUGUGGGUUUUUCACUUCGUGUGUGUUUCUUGCUCAGGUAGUAUUUGUAGUGAGCAUGUGUUAAGGUUGCUGUAGAUUAACACAGAAAUAUAGAGGAAAAAUGUCAGAAAUGAGAGU